This 1358-nucleotide ribosomal RNA is filed under the name uncultured bacterium. Its description in RNAcentral is "bacterial SSU rRNA". It matches the Rfam family "Bacterial small subunit ribosomal RNA", at positions 28 to 1381 of the family's 1533-position model. The record is from RNAcentral.
GAUGAACGCUAGCUACAGGCUUAACACAUGCAAGUCGAGGGGCAGCAUGGUCUUAGCUUGCUAAGGCCGAUGGCGACCGGCGCACGGGUGAGUAACACGUAUCCAACCUGCCGUCUACUCUUGGACAGCCUUCUGAAAGGAAGAUUAAUACAAGAUGGCAUCAUGAGUCCACAUGUUCACAUGAUUAAAGGUAUUCCGGUAGACGAUGGGGAUGCGUUCCAUUAGAUAGUAGGCGGGGUAACGGCCCACCUAGUCUUCGAUGGAUAGGGGUUCUGAGAGGAAGGUCCCCCACAUUGGAACUGAGACACGGUCCAAACUCCUACGGGAGGCAGCAGUGAGGAAUAUUGGUCAAUGGGCGAGAGCCUGAACCAGCCAAGUAGCGUGAAGGAUGACCGCCCUAUGGGUUGUAAACUUCUUUUAUAAAGGAAUAAAGUCGGGUAUGGAUACCCGUUUGCAUGUACUUUAUGAAUAAGGAUCGGCUAACUCCGUGCCAGCAGCCGCGGUAAUACGGAGGAUCCGAGCGUUAUCCGGAUUUAUUGGGUUUAAAGGGAGCGUAGAUGGGUGUUUAAGUCAGUUGUGAAAGUUUGCGGCUCAACCGUAAAAUUGCAGUUGAUACUGGAUAUCUUGAGUGCAGUUGAGGCAGGCGGAAUUCGUGGUGUAGCGGUGAAAUGCUUAGAUAUCACGAAGAACUCCGAUUGCGAAGGCAGCCUGCUAAGCUGCAACUGACAUUGAGGCUCGAAAGUGUGGGUAUCAAACAGGAUUAGAUACCCUGGUAGUCCACACGGUAAACGAUGAAUACUCGCUGUUUGCGAUAUACAGCAAGCGGCCAAGCGAAAGCGUUAAGUAUUCCACCUGGGGAGUACGCCGGCAACGGUGAAACUCAAAGGAAUUGACGGGGGCCCGCACAAGCGGAGGAACAUGUGGUUUAAUUCGAUGAUACGCGAGGAACCUUACCCGGGCUUAAAUUGCAGAUGAAUUACGGUGAAAGCCGUAAGCCGCAAGGCAUCUGUGAAGGUGCUGCAUGGUUGUCGUCAGCUCGUGCCGUGAGGUGUCGGCUUAAGUGCCAUAACGAGCGCAACCCUUGUUGUCAGUUACUAACAGGUUCCGCUGAGGACUCUGACAAGACUGCCAUCGUAAGAUGUGAGGAAGGUGGGGAUGACGUCAAAUCAGCACGGCCCUUACGUCCGGGGCUACACACGUGUUACAAUGGGGGGUACAGAGGGCCGCUACCACGCGAGUGGACGCCAAUCCCAAAAACCUCUCUCAGUUCGGACUGGAGUCUGCAACCCGACUCCACGAAGCUGGAUUCGCUAGUAAUCGCGCAUCAGCCACGGCGCGGUGAAUACGUUCCCGGGCCU